RNAcentral lists this long non-coding RNA (1033 nucleotides) under Carica papaya (papaya). Its description in RNAcentral is "long non-coding RNA (CPAP_LNC013373)". The record is from RNAcentral. Lineage: Eukaryota; Viridiplantae; Streptophyta; Magnoliopsida; Brassicales; Caricaceae.
GUGGUACCAACUAUUUCUAGAGGUACUCUUAAAAAACAGACACAUUGGUAUUCAUUCUUGACACCAUGUUCACAUGUAUCUGAUGAAGAAAAUGAAGCUCAAAGAAAGAAAAUAUUCUAAUAUAAAGAUUUUUUUUUGCAAGUAAUUUAAAAUGACAUUUAAUGGUAGUUUAUGUUUAUUAUUCAGUUCGGUUAAUGAUAAAAAGAGGAAGACCCUGUAAUGGAAGUAUUCUAAUAUUAAGAGAUACUUAUGUAAUGAUGCAAUUAUGCUUUUUAUGCAGUAUUAAGACAUUCAGUUUAUUUAUGAACUGUUAAGACCAUGUUUGGAAUAAAUAAAUUUUUUUAUGGAAUGCAUUUAGAGAUCUUGUAGUUUUUAUACUUUAGUUCAAGCAUGAAAAAAAUGAACAUUCAAUUUUAAAUAAAUUCUAAGUGGAUUUGAAGAAACAUGUUUCAAAUUUUACCAAUCUUGACAGAUGAAUUAUGGUGGCUUUAGAUAUCUAUCUGGUUCCUAUCUUCACUAACCAUUUAGGGCAUGCUAAAUGGAAAUGACUUUCACAAAACUAUAAUUUAUGAAUAAGUUCAAGUAUAAUUCAUUUGUUCCGAGCAUAUCCUAAGUAUAGACUUGUUAUUUAUUUAUUCAAGAUCCUAUGUAAUCAUUUCCUAUCUAGUAUUCCAGACAUGAUGGCAUUUCUAAGACCCCUAUAAAUAAUUAGAUGAUAUUAUAUUAUAUUAAGACUGCCUAUGAAUAAAUAUACAAAUGCACUCAUUGGUUGAUUGUCUUAACAACCUCUUACUGUAAUUAUAUAUUGUAUCUUCUGGAUUUUCAAUGUCUGUGGUUGUAAGUCGAAUAUGUUUCUCCCUUUUUUGUCCUUUUUGCUUUAAAGAUUAUUGUGUAACCUCCAAACAAAAACACACGAAAAUACAGCAUAGCUUGAACCAAAACUUUUUACAGAAGAAAGGACUUACCAGUCAUUGAACUUAGUGAUUAGUGACAUCAAUAUCUUGAUUGAGAAGAUUUUUUCCAAUUUCAAAAU